GACGAACGCUGGCGGCGUGCUUAACACAUGCAAGUCGAACGGAAAGGCCCUGCUUUUGUGGGGUGCUCGAGUGGCGAACGGGUGAGUAACACGUGAGUAACCUGCCCUUGACUUUGGGAUAACUUCAGGAAACUGGGGCUAAUACCGGAUAGGAGCUCCUGCUGCAUGGUGGGGUUGGAAAGUUUCGGCGGUUGGGGAUGGACUCGCGGCUUAUCAGCUUGUUGGUGGGGUAGUGGCUUACCAAGGCUUUGACGGGUAGCCGGCCUGAGAGGGUGACCGGCCACAUUGGGACUGAGAUACGGCCCAGACUCCUACGGGAGGCAGCAGUGGGGAAUAUUGCACAAUGGGCGGAAGCCUGAUGCAGCAACGCCGCGUGCGGGAUGACGGCCUUCGGGUUGUAAACCGCUUUCGCCUGUGACGAAGCGUGAGUGACGGUAAUGGGUAAAGAAGCACCGGCUAACUACG
RNAcentral lists this ribosomal RNA (465 nucleotides) under uncultured bacterium. RNAcentral describes it as "partial 16S ribosomal RNA". It matches the Rfam family "Bacterial small subunit ribosomal RNA", at positions 28 to 505 of the family's 1533-position model. The record is from RNAcentral.